AGAGUAGUAGGGUAAUUGGUUAGCCCCCUGCAUUUGGGAUGCAGUGAUAUUGCAAGUUCGAGUCUUGUCUACUCUA
This 76-nucleotide transfer RNA is filed under the name Crassvirales sp. RNAcentral describes it as "tRNA-Pro". It matches the Rfam family "tRNA". Rfam says of the family: Transfer RNA (tRNA) molecules are approximately 80 nucleotides in length. The record is from RNAcentral. Lineage: Duplodnaviria; Heunggongvirae; Uroviricota; Caudoviricetes; Crassvirales.